CACGUAGGGUGCGAGCGUUGUCCGGAUUCAUUGGGCGUAAAGGGCUAGUAGGCGGCUUAGCAAGUCGGGUGUGAAAUUUCCAGGCUUAACCUGGAACCGCCAUCCGAUACUGCUAUGGCUAGAGUCCGGUAGGGGACCACGGAAUUCCUGGUGUAGCGGUGAAAUGCGCAGAUAUCAGGAGGAACACCGGUGGCGAAGGCGGUGGUCUGGGCCGGCACUGACGCUGAAUAGCGAAAGCGUGGGUAGCAAACAGG
This 254-nucleotide ribosomal RNA is filed under the name uncultured bacterium. Its description in RNAcentral is "partial 16S ribosomal RNA". It matches the Rfam family "Bacterial small subunit ribosomal RNA", at positions 524 to 776 of the family's 1533-position model. The record is from RNAcentral.